Non-coding RNA from Biomphalaria pfeifferi, 1253 nucleotides. The record is from the annotation of a GenBank genome assembly. Lineage: Eukaryota; Metazoa; Mollusca; Gastropoda; Planorbidae.
CGAAGAGAAGUUUCUUCAUUGAAUAUAUAAUAGUAUACUUAGAUCGUCUUGUCAACUAGUAACUUCUAGAUGAUCCUCUUAUCAACUAGCAACUUCUAGAUGAUCAUCUUAUCAACUGACGACUUCUGAAUCCUCGGCAACCACGAUCAUUGAUAGUGCGAUAUAGAUCAAGAUAAUCUUCAACGUGACAUCUAUCAUAGUACCAUCUUAGAUUGUGACACCUUAGCACUAUUGAUGAUUCGUGACAAACGAAUAACUGUAACAUUUAAAUACAAAGAAGCCAAAAUUAAAAACAGUAAAAUCAUUUUUAUUCCAGCACCACUGACAAAGCAUAUCACGUACCACUGACAUAGCAUAUCACAUUCCACUGACAUGGAGUAUCACAUACACUGACAUAGCAUAUGACAUUCCACGGACAUAGUGCAUCACUUACCACUGACACAGCACACAACAUACCACUGACAUAGUGCAUCACAUACAAAUGACAUAGCACAUCACAUACCACUGACAUGGUGCAUCACAUACAACUGAUAUAGUGUAUCACAAUGUUGGUUUAGUUCCAUAUAAAUAAAUAACUGUAUAGUUUUCUAUGGACAUUAAUUGAAACAAACAAUAAAUUACAUUUGGCUUAACAUUGACACUCCCUCUCAUACAAAGUUUUUAAAGCCAAUCAAACUGUUACAAAAAUAAAUCAUCAAGAUGAAAUUUCAUAAAAACAGUGGUAACAAUUUUUUAUUCAAUAGUUUUAGCCUUUGUUUAAUGUGCUUCACAAGGUGUAGUCACAUUUAAAAAGAUAAUCUUAAGUCAAUUUCUCCUAAAUAAAAGUUAAUACUAAAUAAAUAAAAGUGAACUUUGAAUAGGACCUAGCAGUUAUGUGGCCCCAGUGCAGUUUUGUUGACCCAUGCAAUAUGAUAUGGUCCCAGUGACUUGAUGUGGGUACAUUGCAGAUAUGUGACCCCAGUGCAAUGUGAUGCGCCCAAAUGCAAUGUGAUGUCUUUAGAAACUAUGCUACAAAUUCAUUUGAUACAAUUGUUCUAAAAACGAAUAUGUCAACACACUUGUAUUAAAAAAAACAUUGUUGACUUUGUAAGUCAAUUUCAGUCAUUCCUUCAAAAACGAUAAUCAAUAUGAUGUAGCAACAAACCUCCAGCGGGACGGCAGGUAUUGCAUUUGAGAUAUCAUGACAACAACAAUCAAAUGCACAUUGCACAUGGCAGACAGCCAUUUAUUUACUAUUGCUCUUUGAUAUUUUG